CCAAUAGCGUAUAUUAAAGUUGUUGCGGUUAAAAAGCUCGUAGUUGAAUUUCGGGGUUAGCAAGUUGGUCGUGCCACUGGUAUGUACUGGCUUUGCUGAUUCCUCCUUCUUGUAGAACCGUAAUGCCAUUUAGUUGGUGUUGCGGGGAAACAGGACUGUUACUUUGAAAAAAUUAGAGUGUUUAAAGCAGGCUAACGCCUGAAUACAUUAGCAUGGAAUAAUGAAAUAGGACGAGCGAUCCUAUUUUGUUGGUUUCUAGGAUUGACGUAAUGAUUAAUAGGGAUAGUUGGGGGCAUUAGUAUUCAAUUGUCAGAGGUGAAAUUCUUGGAUUUAUUGAAGACUGACUACUGCGAAAGCAUUUGCCAAGGAUGUUUUCAUUAAUCAAGAACGAAAGUUAGGGGAUCGAAGACGAUCAGAUACCGUCGUAGUCUUAACCAUAAACUAUGCCGACUAGGGAUCGGAUGAUGUUAAUUUUUUAAUGACUCAUUCGGCGCCUUACG
This 500-nucleotide ribosomal RNA is filed under the name uncultured Glomeromycotina. Its description in RNAcentral is "partial small subunit ribosomal RNA". It matches the Rfam family "Eukaryotic small subunit ribosomal RNA", at positions 591 to 1092 of the family's 1831-position model. The record is from RNAcentral. Lineage: Eukaryota; Fungi; Glomeromycota.